Molecule: ribosomal RNA, 671 nt
Filed under: fungal sp. genotype 690 JMUR-2016
Lineage: Eukaryota; Fungi
Description: eukaryotic LSU rRNA
Rfam family: Eukaryotic large subunit ribosomal RNA (bases 211-671)
Source: RNAcentral
AACGCACAUUGCGCCUAUUAGUAUUCUAGUAGGCAUGCCUGUUCGAGCGUCAUUUCAACCCUUAAGCCUAGCUUAGUGUUGGGAGUCUACGGUAAAACGUAGUUCCUCAAAGACGUUGGCAGAGCUCGGUCGAUCUCUCAGCGUAGUAAUUUUCUCUCGUUGUGGAAGACGGUCGGGCGAUCGCCAGGAAACCUUUAUUCUUUUAAUGGUUGACCUCGGAUCAGGUAGGAAUACCCGCUGAACUUAAGCAUAUCAAUAAGCGGAGGAAAAGAAACCAACAGGGAUUGCCUCAGUAACGGCGAGUGAAGCGGCAACAGCUCAAAUUUGAAAUCUGGCCUAGCCCGAAUUGUAAUUUGCAGAGGAUGCUUUUGGUGAGGUGCCUUCCGAGUUCCCUGGAACGGGACGCCAUAGAGGGUGAGAGCCCCGUACGGUUGGAUGCCGAGCCUCUGUAAAGCUCCUUCGACGAGUCGAGUAGUUUGGGAAUGCUGCUCUAAAUGGGAGGUAAAUUUCUUCUAAAGCUAAAUACCGGCCAGAGACCGAUAGCGCACAAGUAGAGUGAUCGAAAGAUGAAAAGCACUUUGAAAAGAGGGUUAAAUAGCACGUGAAAUUGUUGAAAGGGAAGCGUUUAUGACCAGACAUUACCCGGUAAGGAUUACCCUCCGGGUGAGGCC